Long non-coding RNA from Sinocyclocheilus grahami, 232 nucleotides. RefSeq lists it as uncharacterized. The record is from RefSeq and is a predicted model, not a curated record. The transcript has 3 exons. NCBI's taxonomy places the organism in Eukaryota, Metazoa, Chordata, Actinopteri, Cypriniformes, Cyprinidae.
AUCGGCAGCAGAGAAAAGGCGUCAGCUGAUCCAGGAGUCGAAGUUCUUGGGUGGUGAUAUGGAGCACACUCACUUGGUGAAGGGUUUGGAUUUCGCCCUGCUACAGAAGGUCAGAGCUGAAAUCACUAAUAAGGAGCGAGAAGAAGAGGACAUGAUUGAGAAAGUGCAGAAGGAAGUCAAGAAAGAUGAAGAUCCAGAGCAGAAGAUUGAGUUCAAGACUCGUCUGGGUGAG